This 1938-nucleotide long non-coding RNA is filed under the name Homo sapiens (human). Its description in RNAcentral is "HSALNT0129157". Lineage: Eukaryota; Metazoa; Chordata; Mammalia; Primates; Hominidae. The record is from RNAcentral.
UCCCCCAUUUCAUGGGAUGACCCUGUCUGCUGUUUGGAAGCUUGUUUGCCGCAGAACUUGGGGAACAGAGCUUGCAGGAGUCAGCCCCACAGCAGUUCAGAACAGAGGAGAGCAGGAGAGGGUUAAGAAUGCACCUGAGAGCAACAGGCGCACACCUGGCAUAGAAAAGGAGGAGAGAACCAGGAGCUUGGCUUGAGGGAGCCACAGGAGUGAGAAGAGGAUGUUCAUGAUGGGAGUAUCUUGCACUGCAGUGGAGGCAGAGAGCCAAUAUAGAGGAAGACAGAGGUUACUGUGUGCCGUGCAUCGUUUGAGCAGCUCGGGAGACCCAGUGAGUCCAGCCAUCCCUGUCCACAGGUCAAGUCACUGAGGUGCAGAGACACUGCCUUCCUGUCCUAAAGUCCAGUUCAGGCCAGCUCUCUCCAGAGUUCCAGGCUUUUGGUCUCCGUCUGCAGAUCUCCUUUGCUUUGAAUGAGUCUGUCCCUGAGGAGGGCUAGGAGCAACCUUGAGAAGGAACAUGAUGGUCACUAAUUCAGCCAGAACACUCUCAAGGUGCAUUCUGAGCGAGGCUGAUGCCAGGUGCAGAACAAACACCUCUUGCGCCUGGGAGCUUCCUGAAGUUUGGAGAAUGUGUCAGAUAUCACCUGUUUGCCCCUGGGGGCCUAGCCCCACCCCUGUCUGCAUUUCGUGCAGACUACACUGGGGCCUCCGUUGCCCUCCGUUUGGCCAGCAGGAAGCUCUGGCAAAAGAUCAGUGGGAUAGAGGAAGAUGCUUUGGGGAUUUAUUUUUCCCGCUCCCUCUCUGGGGAUCCCUGAAGGGACAGCUGUGCCUUCUGUCCAAGUGUCCUAUUUUCCCUCUUCUCCAGGACUAGUGGUAAACCUUUUCCUAGUUCCUUCAGUUCAAAGGGGGAAUAGGUGCCUUGUUCCAGCCCUGGGGUAUAGCCCUGUCUCUUCUGGUUCCUCUUCAAUCUGCCCUGUGUAAACAGCCCCUUUCUUUUUAAAACUCUCCUACAAUAGGCCAGGCACAGUGGCUCAUCAGGCCUGUAAUCCCACACUCUGGGAGGCAAAAGCGGGCAGAUCAGUUGAGGUUGGGAGCUCAAGACCAGCCUGGGAAACAUGGUGAAACCCUGUCUCCACUAAAAAAUACAAAAAUUAGCCAGGUAAUCCCUGCACUUUGGGAGGCCAAGGCAGGCGGAUCACAAGGUCAAGAGAUCGAGACCAUCCUGGCCCACAUGGUGAAACCCUACUAAAAAUACAAAAAUUAGCCGGGUGUGGUGGUGCGCACCUGUAGUCCCAGCUACUUGGGAGGCUGAGGCAGGAGAAUUGCUUGAACCCGAGAGGUGGAGGUUGCAGUGAGCCGAGAUCAUGCCACUGCACUCCAGCCUGGGCGACAGAGUGAGACUCCAUCUCGAAAAAAAAUCUUUCCUGCAAUCAUCCUAGUUAGAGUGUGCUAUUUGUUUUCUGCUGGGCACUGACUGAUACAAAGAAUAGGACCUAUAGAUAGAAAAUUGCUGGUGGAGGCUGGGCAUGGUGGCUCGUGCCUGUAAUACUGGCACUUUGGGAGGCUGAGGCAGGCGGAUCACGAGGUCAAGAGAUCGAGACCAUCCUGGCCAACAUGGUGAAACCCUACUAAAAAUACAAACAUUAGGCCAGGCGCCGUGGCUCAUGCCUUUAAUCCCAGCACUUUGGGAGGCCGAGGUGGUUGCAUCACCUGAGGUCAGAAGUUCGAGACCAGCCGGACCAACAUGGAGAAAUCCCAUCUCUACUAAAAAUACAAAAUUAGCCAGGCGUGGUGGCAGGUGCCUGUAGUCCCAGCUACUUGGGAGGCUGAGGCAGGAGAAUCACUUGAACCUGGGAGGUAGAGGCUGUGGUAAGCUGAGAUCGCGCCAUUGCACUCCAGCCUGGGCGAGAAGAGCGAAACUCCAUCUCAAAAAAAAAAAAA